Molecule: ribosomal RNA, 492 nt
Filed under: uncultured bacterium
Lineage: Bacteria
Description: partial 16S ribosomal RNA
Rfam family: Bacterial small subunit ribosomal RNA
Source: RNAcentral
AGUGAACGCUGGCGGUAGGCCUAACACAUGCAAGUCGAACGGCAGCACAGUAAGAGCUUGCUCUUACGGGUGGCGAGUGGCGGACGGGUGAGGAAUACAUCGGAAUCUACUUUUUCGUGGGGGAUAACGUAGGGAAACUUACGCUAAUACCGCAUACGACCUACGGGUUAAAGCAGUGGAUCUUCGGACCUUGCGCGAUUGAAUGAGCCGAUGUCGGAUUAGCUAGUUGGCGGGGUAAAGGCCCACCAAGGCAACGAUCCGUAGCUGGUCUGAGAGGAUGAUCAGCCACACUGGAACUGAGACACGGUCCAGACUCCUACGGGAGGCAGCAGUAGGGAAUAUUGGACAAUGGGCGCAAGCCUGAUCCAGCAAUACCGCGUGGGUGAAGAAGGUCUUCGGGUUGUAAAGCCCUGUUGUUGGGAAAGAAAAGCAGCAGGUUAAUACCCCGCUGUUCUGACGGUACCCAAAGAAUAAGCACCGGCUAACUUCGUG